Long non-coding RNA from Lotus japonicus, 480 nucleotides. RefSeq lists it as uncharacterized. The record is from RefSeq and is a predicted model, not a curated record. Lineage: Eukaryota; Viridiplantae; Streptophyta; Magnoliopsida; Fabales; Fabaceae. The transcript is spliced from 6 exons.
CAUUCAACGUAUUCCAUGUGAGAGCUUGAACAUCACAAAAUAUGAUUGAAGACUGAGCAUAGGAAGAGCUAUACGCAGGGAAAAUGUUUUUUGAGGAGCCGGAUAGAGAUGGUGAUAGCCAAGAAACUCUUUCAGGCGGGUAGGUGUCUAGGUCUGAAUCCUCCUCUUCACCGUGGAUGCCACUAUGACCUCAUCGCCAUCUCAUGUCGCAUGGGUAUUGGGAGAAGCACAAAAUGAUUGGUGGAAAUCAUGUAGACAAGGAAGAGGAUUAAGGAGAAAAAGCAAACAUGCAGAGUGAAUGAUGUAAGAGGUCUUGGAGACACCGGGGGAGCAGAGAUUCAUGUCUAUUAUGGAUGAAAACUAGAAACGAAGUUAUGAUGGUGAAGUUCAAACAGUUUCUAUGAGUGAUCUUUGAUUGAAAGCUGCGUUUUUAGAAGGAGAAAGCUCUUUAAGACUAUGAAUCAGCUGCUAGAAUAGAAG